ACAAGCGGUGGAGCAUGUGGUUAAUUCGAAGCAACGCGAAGAACCUUACCAGGUCUUGACAUCCCUGACAACCCAAGAGAUUGGGCGUUCCCCUUCGGGGGACAGGGUGACAGGUGGUGCAUGGUUGUCGUCAGCUCGUGUCGUGAGAUGUUGGGUUAAGUCCCGCAACGAGCGCAACCCUCGCCUCUAGUUGCCAGCAUUCGGUUGGGCACUCUAGAGGGACUGCCGGCGACAAGUCGGAGGAAGUGGGGAUGACGUCAAAUCAUCAUGCCCCUUAUGACCUGGGCUACACACGUGCUACAAUGGGCGGUACAAAGGGCUGCGAACCCGCGAGAGCGCGCCAAUCUCAGAAAGCCAUCCUCAGUUCGGAUUGGAGUCUGCAACUCGACUCCAUGAAGUUGGAAUCGCUAGUAAUCGCGGAUCAGCACGCCGCGGUGAAUACGUUCCCGGGCCUU
This 455-nucleotide ribosomal RNA is filed under the name uncultured Geobacillus sp. RNAcentral describes it as "bacterial SSU rRNA". It matches the Rfam family "Bacterial small subunit ribosomal RNA", at positions 925 to 1382 of the family's 1533-position model. Lineage: Bacteria; Bacillati; Bacillota; Bacilli; Caryophanales; Anoxybacillaceae. The record is from RNAcentral.